UACAGAGGGGGCGAGCGUUAUUCGGAAUCAUUGGGCGUAAAGGGCGCGUAGGCGGCCGCGUAAGUCUCGGGUGAAAUCCCUCGGCUCAACCGAGGAACUGCCCUGGAAACUGCGCGGCUCGAGGCCGGGAGAGGAUGGUGGAAUUCCCAGUGUAGCGGUGAAAUGCGUAGAUAUUGGGAGGAACACCGGUGGCGAAGGCGGCCAUCUGGACCGGUCCUGACGCUGAGGCGCGAAAGCGUGGGGAGCAAACAGGAUUAGAUACCCUGGUAGUCCACGCCCUAAACGAUGGGUACUCGGUGUCGCGGGUAUCGACCCCCGCGGUGCCUUAGCUAACGCGUUAAGUACCCCGCCUGGGGAGUACGGUCGCAAGGCUGAA
Molecule: ribosomal RNA, 376 nt
Filed under: uncultured bacterium
Lineage: Bacteria
Description: bacterial SSU rRNA
Rfam family: Bacterial small subunit ribosomal RNA
Source: RNAcentral